Molecule: long non-coding RNA, 1343 nt
Organism: Ostrea edulis (European flat oyster)
Lineage: Eukaryota; Metazoa; Mollusca; Bivalvia; Ostreida; Ostreidae
Exons: 3
Source: RefSeq, a predicted model, not a curated record
UAUACACAAGUAUUGUACCCACAAUUGGCAGCCAGUUGACAUCUAACUGUCACUUGGACCCCCACAUUCUGUGUAUUGGAGGGAGAUUAGAAAGACCUUUAAAGUUACUUGUAUUGUGAAAUGCCACUUAAUAUCCACUCAGGGUUGGUUUAAUGCUUAUUUUUAGAGGUGCAUUUCAUCUCUGCACCAUCCAGUUUCAAAGCUUACAAAACAUCAUGUGUUAUGAAUAGCAUAACAUUGAAAAGCUUUGUCUUUGGCCUCUGCAUCUCACAGGGUCAAGGUCACUAAACAUUUGUGACAAUUUUAGUGAGUGCAGCAAGCUCUAAAGAUAAUGACUUGGAAAAUUUAAGUCGCAUUAAUGUAGCAGUGUGUUUUAACUUGUAUAUAUUAUAUGAUACCAUAUUUUAAUAAACAUGAAUAGUGCAUAUGAAUUAAAAGCGCAUUUUAUGAUUUAAGUCAAAUUCCCAGAUCCACCCCUUUAUUUACUUAGUGUAAUAGGUGAGUGAAAAGGUUCACAGGUCUUGGUAUUUCAUUGGCUAUAGAACUGAGUUUUAUUCAGUUAGAAUCUAGAGAGUUUUUGGUCAGGUUGGUCGUGGCUUGCUUUUAAGCAGUUUUGGUAUCUUUGUGCUGAUUUGGCAUUUUGGUUUUGACAAAGACAUUAUUAGACCUUCAAAUCCAGACCUGACAGUAAGUACUAAUUUUAUUAACAUUUAUCUUCAUUAUAUGUAUAUAUAACUAAUAUCACUGUUUGAGAGAAGAGUGAAAGUUUAAAUAUUAUGAAGAACAGUAAAUAUCAAUUUAAAGUUAUUUCCUCUCAGUAUAUGCUUAUAUUAUAUCUAUAGUUAUUAUAGUGUAUAUAGUACUGUAAUGAUAUAUUUGUUAUAAAUAGAUUAGAAGCAUCCAGGCAGCAUUUUGAUGUUUGCAUGCAUUGGGCCUUGUCCCAUAGAUAGCAUCUAACACUAGCAAUCACUCACGUUGGGUUCUCAGUUUUAAUGCCUUGGUGAUGUGAAACGUAUGACACCCCCCUCCCCCACGUACAACUUGUCUUGGGGUUAGUUUUGCACAGCAUGCAAGAAGAAGGUGUUUCCGGAUGACCCCCACCUAUAGGCCAACAUGUCGUCAAGGCAGUAUAUCAAUUCGACUCAAUUGUUUAUUUAUAUCACCAAACAUGUUGGUAUACAUCAAGUCAACAGAAGAAAAAAAAAAGGACCACAAAUUACAUAACUAACAAAAUAAACAGUCAACGUACUAUAAAAUGAAUUAAUUUCAAAAUUUAAAUUAUUUGUGAUUACAAGUUGGCAAAUGUUAUCAUGGUACAGUAGUAUAGACUGCUUCUGUCUAUU